AUGCGAGCGACGGCCAGAAAUAUUUCUUCUUUUCCGUCUGAGCCCGAGGAUGCGGGUGUUUCCAGCAAAUUACAAAGACCAAGUGGUUGUUCCCUGAGGACCACUGAAGACAGUGUUUCCCCAGAAGAUGAGCAGCGAGAUCUGGAUAAUUACCUCCAAAAUCUUAGAGAAGAUGCAGAUAGUGACAAGGACAGGUCCCAUUUGGAAAUAAUGGAGAGACUGGUUGCAUUCUCUAAGAGGCAGUUAUCUAGAAUCUCCCCAAAUCUUCCAUCAGAGUCCAAAUCAACAGCCAAACACAACAGUCACCAGGAGGUGAGACCCAGUGUCGACGUGCACAGCGGAGCGACAAUAGACGGCAGCAAAGGGACUGACAAGUUCAAGCUGCAAAGGAAAACACGGGCGGUGACUAGAAAUGAGCAUAAAUCCCCCAGCGUAUGUGCAGAUCCUCAAGUCAAAGCAUCAACUGCUCCCCAACACCCAGUCAAAGAACUAAUCAUUAACCAGAACGAUGCAUGUGUUAGUGGCCGACACAAGCCGCUUACACAAACACCACAACGCAAAGAAUAUGCGCAUCACAAACAUCACCCAACCAGUUCUGUCUAUCGGAAGCAGCCAGCUGUGGAGAGGACAGAUGUUCUCUACGAUAAUGAGUCAUCUCAUCUGGAGUCCUUCAAUGUGCUACCAGAAGACAUAAUAAGUGAGGACUGCAUUGUGCUGAUUGUCCAGCUCUCCAGUCCCGGUGUGAUCAGAGGCCGAGCUCAUGAAAAGGGAAACCGCCGGCGUCCAGCAGCGACCGAAUCACACAUCUACAACACUUUGGUCUCUUGGUUUCUCUCGUUGGCUGGCCCAGACCCGCAUCCCAACCAGGACAGGGUCCCAUUCAGGGUGGCGGGUCUUCAGCAGGCGUGGACAGAGGAAGGACUGGCUUUACGUGCUUUAGCUGUGGCUCAUCACAGUUGUUCCCUGGGGAGAAAGGAUUUUGUCGCCUACGUCUGCAGGUUCCUCUCUGAAACCUCACUCAGUGAAACUGCCCACUGGCUGCCGAAGCUCCAGGAUUUAUUGGACCAACAGGGCUCUGCCUCAUCCAUCGACCUGCCUUCUUCUAGCUUAAACGCCUUUAUCUCUGCCACCGCCAGCAAAAAGUCAGUGGACGAGGCGAUUGGUCUCAGUCCAGGGUUUUACUGGCAGAUUGUGGAAACUCAGGGGGAUGUUUGCAGGAGGAGAGAGACCACACAGGAGCUGCACACAGAGGUAUCAUUGGCUCUGGGGGGCAGCGACGUCUUCCGGGAUCCGCUCAUAACACACUACACCCUUCAGCUGGUCCUGGACUCAGGACUAGACGUGUGUGGCCUCCGUCUGCUUUACCCCCCGCAGAGGUUCCUGGGUCACAGCGCCGGUGUUCAGCGCAGCUCUGACUGCCAGCCCGUCUUGGCCCUGGCUGUUCGGGGCCCUCGUGCGUUCUCGGUGCUGAAGGGUUUUACAGACUCCUCGUGUCCUCUAUUGUCCCAGAAGACAUAUUCGAGUUCUGCCGGGCCGCUGCAAAGCCAAAGUCAGGAACCUUGUCUCUUCCACUCACCCGGUCUGGAGAGUCAGGUCCACAAGGAGCUAUGCUUGUGGUUUGCAGGAAGACUUCCCAGAGGAACUGUAGAGAAUCACAACCAGCAUCUGAACAGGACUAUUCCUUCGGGUGAUGGUGUUGGAGGCAGCCUGUUCAGUUCAAGCACAUCGCCUGCGUUUCUGUGCGCCACAUCUACAGCCGACGUGCUGCUCGUGGUCGCGCCCGCCGUGCCGGCGCGCUGUUACGGCCCGGUGUUGGCCGUGUGCGAACGUAGAGGCUUCGGUCUGGAAGGGCUGCGACGCCGGACGCUGAAGAGAAACACUGGCAAAGUGCUAGGAUUAACCAGGGAGCAGGUGAGAGUGUUCUGCAGUUUACACACAGAGUCCUUGGAUCAGAAGGGGCUCAAACCACCUCCUCAGUGCUUAGUGGUUUUACUGAAGAAAGAGAAUGCCGUGCAUCACAGUCUCAGUCUGCCAACAGCUCUAAUGAGAGAAUUAAGGGCUCGUAAGCUUCUCAGCUGCAUCCGCCUCAGAGACGAUGGCGUUCAGACAGCGGAGCCCAGCCUCUGUUUCCACACUGUGCCUUACAGCAGUAACCUGUCCCACACCUUCAUUAGGUCUAUGUGGACAGUGCCUGAUCCUACCAGAGUGAUCCUGUCCCAUCGCAGGCCUCACACUGACUGUGACGUGGAGCAGGUGGUGAUUUUGACCCUGCGUGGGAAGGACAUGGGUCACGGUUUGGGCCUCCUACAUCGAAUGUUAGCAGAAAGCCCAGAAGGUGGCACAGAGCUGCUCGGCCUGAAGUGGCUGCCUGGCUUGACUCAGCUGCAGGCUCAGGAGCUGAGUCCCUACGAGGUGGGGGAGCAGCUUUUCCACAGUAGCGUGGAGACGCUCAUGUCCUCCCCUUCCCUGUUAUGUGCUCUUAAACGAAGGAACGCUUUUGCUUCGCUGAAGACGCUCCUACCAUAUGAUUACCCUGGAAACCUGUCUGUCCUGAUGUCACCCACACCUGAAGUGGCCUUCAGACAAGCAGCGCUCUUCUUUGAACACUGGAUGACUGGAUGA
Molecule: long non-coding RNA, 2622 nt
Organism: Betta splendens (Siamese fighting fish)
Lineage: Eukaryota; Metazoa; Chordata; Actinopteri; Anabantiformes; Osphronemidae
Source: Ensembl